UGGCCCAUAGAAGACAGAGGGUGAUGCCAGAUGGAAAGCAUUCAGCCUGGAGCUCGGUGACCAGUGGUUUUCUGCACGGAGAGGUUACAGGACCUCUGCUCUUGGUACUCGGGAAGUUCCUGACUCAAUAGACUUCCCAACUGCUGUGCGUCUCAUCCAUCACCUCAUUGAAGAUGGUUGGUCAGCCAGGGAGACAAAGGGCAGGGAGAUCUGGAGCCUUUAAUAAAUCCUGCAGUGAGGUACUCAGGAAGGUUCAGACUCGAUUAACUUCCCAGCUGCUGGGUGUCUCGUCCAUCAUCACAUUGAAGAUAGUUGGUCAGCCAGAGAGACAAAAGAGAGGGAGAUCUGCAGCCUUCAAUAAAUCCUGCAGUGAGUUUCCGGAAAUGCUUCCUAAAGCAGGAUGAUCAGAAUUCUCCACAGUACUCCAACUGGGGACCCAGCAAUGCCUUGUACAGCCGUACCAUG
Long non-coding RNA from Hemiscyllium ocellatum (epaulette shark), 465 nucleotides. RefSeq lists it as uncharacterized. The transcript has 4 exons. The record is from RefSeq and is a predicted model, not a curated record. NCBI's taxonomy places the organism in Eukaryota, Metazoa, Chordata, Chondrichthyes, Orectolobiformes, Hemiscylliidae.